AUCUCCCUCCCUCCACACCGCACACUUGCACGCAUGCCCGCCUUCCUCGCGCCGCCCAUCUCCCUCCGCGCUGUGCGCUCACAUGCGGCAUGCCGCCUCCGUCUACUCGGGAUCUCUCUCCCGUCCUCCACUCCCCUACCUCAGCUUCCGCUCCUGCCCCAAGACGGCGCUCCCUCCUCUCGUUCAAGGCCAGUGCCUCAAUCCUGCAACUAUCCCCAAGAUCCAUCGUCGAAGAAGCCCGUGAACGAGGAUCUAUCCCCAAGUUCCGCAUCCAAAGGAGCCCGUGACAAGGACGCCAAGCCAGAAAGCCGCGACGCUACUCCAUGUCGGUGGACAAUCUGCGGAGAGCCGGUGACAGAUCACAGCUUGUUCCUCCUGAUCUAGGUUUGGUUUGUGGGGGAAAUCGCCUGGAACCCUAGAGCUGCUUGAGGAAAUGAAGAUCACUAGAGACCGCACCACAUUGAGGAUCGAUGGGGCUGCAGAUGAGGAGGUGUUGCUACUGAAUUUAUCUGACCAUUUGUGAGUCUGAAAAUUUAUUUAAUAUAUACUGCUUUGUGUUUUGGUUCUGUACUGUAGAUUAUAACACUACUCAAUAACACUAUAUAGGUGACCAGUUCUUCAUACAUUAAUUUCUGGAUGGAUUAUUCUCAGUUGAAUAUUUAUAAAUUAUUUUUCUAAUUAUAUUUUUGCUCUAUAUGUUGUGAGAAGGCUGAGAGUUCCUUUUUGAGAUGUACAAAUAGAUACAUCAUACUCUUAAGGUUUUAAAUGUUUAGAAUGCCAGAAAUUUUGCAAGACCAUUAUCAUGAGUUUCAGGAUGCAUCAUGAAUUUUUGUUGGUACAAUGUUUAAUGCAAGCUUCGUGCAGAUUUUUCCUGACCUCAUUUACAAUAUGUCUAUUGUCUCUUGCAUGCAGUAUGACACUCAGCUUAAAAGGUCGGUCAGAAUGCUAUUCUCAAAAUGGAUUUUUAACCAAUGCUAUUCUCAUGCACUUAUAAUUACUUCCUAUUCUUGCAUAGCUACUAGACUGAAAACUGAAUGUGUUUACCUAUAAUUACUGCAUGUUCUUGCAUAGCUACUGGACAAAAACUGAAUGUGUAUCAGUUAUUUUGCUGAUGUAAUUAAGAGAACUAAUGACUCACUUAUCCAAGGUUAUGGCACUUCUUUGUAUUGUUCACUUCUGUCUAUGUUUUAUUUCUCAAGUUUAUGGCACUUCUUUUUUUUAAGAAAUGCAUGUGCUAGGAAAUGCUAGUUUUCUAUCAUAAUAAAUAGGUCAUUGAGUUUAGUCCUGUAAGAGAGAGUUACAAUAAAUAGGUCAUUGAGUCAUGUCCCUUUUUUUUAACAGGAAAGUGAUCUAUAAUAAACAAACAGUAGUGAUAUAUAUUGAGUCAAGUGACAUAUGUCCCAAAUAUUUCCUACUUGCUUAUCUAUUACAUUUUCUAUAUAUAUGUUGUGUAUUUCAAACAUGCAUGAAACAUAUACUGUACAGCAAGGCAUAAGUCAGGACUUCUUAUCUAACUUAGCUCUGGUUAACCAUAGAAGUAAAGACUAUUUCUUCUGCUUGCAUGUAGCGGCAUGUGCCUUUUCUCUUGAUUUGCCUUUUCUUUUACUGCCCAAUAGUCAGGCAAGUUGCUAUUUAUUGUCAUUUUGAGGUAUGGAAUAUGUGAUCUGGUAUUGUCAUUUUUUAAAUGUUAAUCUGAUGCAGAUCGUGCUAUAUCUCAGGUAGACUACAAUUUUACAUAUAGUGCUGUGAAAGACUGGGCUGCUGGAAGAGAAGGAAAUGGUCCAAUUAGAUGGUGCUCUGCCAGAUCCAAAAUUACUAUGAGAUGUUGGGCUACUAGGACUCCGGCAAGGACGUUGGGACCUUCACAGCGGCAUGGCAGUAGUCUACAAACUCUAAACUUAGAUUUCUCUACAGCCCUAGCACAGUGUAGUCUUUUUCCGCAACCCUAUUGGGCUAUUUGGAUGGAAUUGAGAUUGUAAAUCUUGUAUUCAAUGAGUGGAUCUUGUUUGAAAAAUCGUGGAUUUGUUUGCAAUUUUGCUGUAUAUAAAAUCAGUGAUCUAA
Molecule: RNA transcript, 2061 nt
Organism: Sorghum bicolor (sorghum)
Lineage: Eukaryota; Viridiplantae; Streptophyta; Magnoliopsida; Poales; Poaceae
Exons: 3
Source: RefSeq, a predicted model, not a curated record